Molecule: non-coding RNA, 615 nt
Organism: Pelobates cultripes (western spadefoot toad)
Lineage: Eukaryota; Metazoa; Chordata; Amphibia; Anura; Pelobatidae
Source: the annotation of a GenBank genome assembly
CUGACACAUUUUAGCCAACUGAUUCUUAAUAGUUCUAUUCAUUCUCUCUACCUUACCAGAACUCUGGGGUCUAUAUGCCGUAUGAAGCCUCCACUUUAUACCAAGCAUAUGAGUCAAUUGUUGUAGGCACUGAUGAACAAAAGCUGGACCAUUGUCUGAUCCUAUAGAGCAAGGUAAUCCAUAUCGGGGUAUUAUUUCUCGUAGCAGGAAUCUCACGACUUCUCCUGCUUUCUCUGUACGAGUAGGACAUGCUUCUACCCAGCCUGAAUAGGUGCACACCACUACCAGAAGGUAGCGAUGUCCACCCGAUUUAGGCAUCACUGUAUAGUCAAUUUGUAAAUCGGACAUGGGAAGUCCCCCCAUAAACUGGACUCCUGGUGGCUUUACUGGUCCCUGUCUUGCAUUAUUUUUAGCACACGUUACACAUCUACGUACAAUGGCCUGAGUCAAGUUGGACAAUCUUGGUAUGUAGAAAUGUUUUCUGAGAGAUUCUUCUGUACUGUCUCUCCCAGAAUGUGUCCCGUUAUGAUAGUUUUGGACAAUUUCUACCGCUAGUGAUGCUGGAAUAACUAUUCUUCCAUCUUCUAACUGAUACCAUUUGUUCUCCAAAUACUU